RNAcentral lists this ribosomal RNA (201 nucleotides) under uncultured bacterium. Its description in RNAcentral is "partial 16S ribosomal RNA". It matches the Rfam family "Bacterial small subunit ribosomal RNA", at positions 524 to 723 of the family's 1533-position model. The record is from RNAcentral.
UACGAAGGGGGCUAGCGUUGCUCGGAAUCACUGGGCGUAAAGCGCACGUAGGCGGCUUUUUAAGUCAGAGGUGAAAUCCUGGAGCUCAACUCCAGAACUGCCUUUGAUACUGAGAGGCUUGAGUCCGGGAGAGGUGAGUGGAACUGCGAGUGUAGAGGUGAAAUUCGUAGAUAUUCGCAAGAACACCAGUCGGCGAAGGCG